CCUACGUGAGGCAGCAGUGGGGAAUAUUGGGCAAUGGGCGCAAGCCUGACCCAGCAACGCCGCGUGAAGGAAGAAGGCUUUCGGGUUGUAAACUUCUUUUCUCAGGGACGAAGCAAGUGACGGUUCCUGCGGAAUAAGCCACGGCUAACUACGUGCCAGCAGCCGCGGUAAUACGUAGGUGGCAAGCGUUAUCCGGAUUUACUGGGUGUAAAGGGCGUGUAGGCGGGACUGCAAGUCAGAUGUGAAACCCACGGGCUCAACCCGUGGCAUGCAUUUGAAACUGUAGUGCUUGAGUACUGGGGAGGCAGACGGAAUUCCUAGUGGAGCGGUGAAAUGCGUAGAUAUUAGGAGGAACACCAGUGGCGAAGGCGGUCUACUGGACGGUGACUGACGCUGAGGCUCGAAAGCGUGGGGAGCAAACAGGAUUAGAUACCCGUGUAGUC
RNAcentral lists this ribosomal RNA (443 nucleotides) under uncultured bacterium. RNAcentral's name for it is "partial 16S ribosomal RNA". It matches the Rfam family "Bacterial small subunit ribosomal RNA", at positions 338 to 795 of the family's 1533-position model. The record is from RNAcentral.